Molecule: transfer RNA, 77 nt
Filed under: Candidatus Tokpelaia sp. JSC085
Lineage: Bacteria; Pseudomonadati; Pseudomonadota; Alphaproteobacteria; Hyphomicrobiales
Description: tRNA-Arg
Rfam family: tRNA
About the family: Transfer RNA (tRNA) molecules are approximately 80 nucleotides in length. Their secondary structure includes four short double-helical elements and three loops (D, anti-codon, and T loops).
Source: RNAcentral
GGCUCCGUAGCUCAACUGGAUAGAGCAGCAGUCUUCUAAACCGCAGGUUGCGUGUUCGAAUCACGCCGGAGCCACCA